This is a long non-coding RNA of Corapipo altera (White-ruffed manakin), 474 nucleotides long. RefSeq lists it as uncharacterized. The record is from RefSeq and is a predicted model, not a curated record. The transcript has 2 exons. NCBI's taxonomy places the organism in Eukaryota, Metazoa, Chordata, Aves, Passeriformes, Pipridae.
AAGGCCUUUGGAAGUUUCCUUGGCUUCUACUGAAGCCACAGAAAUGUUGCCACUCAGGAUAUUCCCUCAUUCAGACAUGCCGACAAAGUGGGAAAGAACAUUUCCUGGCAAUGUCAGCCCUCCCAUGAGGUGGCCAAAGCUGUGCAGGACAGGCUGAUGUGCAUAAUUGUUCCUCCAGGUGCGGACAAGAGGAGACUCAGCAGGACCACCUGGAAUGCAGCGGUGGGCACGGCAAACACGGAGGCAGUAAAUGCUGUUACUGCCUGGCUUGUUUAUAUCAAAGACUUCAUUUUGGCUGUGUCCAUCGGUCUGACUAUUUUCAUAUUUGUUCACAAGGUGCUCCCUGCGUGGGUACAGGGUGCACAAGACAGAGCGCCUCGCAGCUUCGAGAGCCGGCUCUGAGCGCCCCAACAGCCGGGCAGAAGCCAGCAGAAUAUUUGCAGGAGCGUUUAAAUAAAGAUCAGCAGCACAAUC